GCUCCGGUGGCCUAGUGGUUAGAGUGCCCGCCUCGGAUGCGGGAGGUCUCGGGUUCGAACACUGACCGAGUCA
Molecule: non-coding RNA, 73 nt
Organism: Potamilus streckersoni
Lineage: Eukaryota; Metazoa; Mollusca; Bivalvia; Unionida; Unionidae
Source: the annotation of a GenBank genome assembly